CAACUUUUAACGGUGGAUCUCUUGGCUCGUGCAUCGAUGAAGAACGCAGCCAGGUGCGAUAAGUAGUGUGAAUUGCAGAAUUCAGUGAAUCAUCGAAUCUUUGAACGCAAAUGGCGCUCUUGGGU
RNAcentral lists this ribosomal RNA (125 nucleotides) under Antipathes curvata. RNAcentral's name for it is "partial 5.8S ribosomal RNA". It matches the Rfam family "5.8S ribosomal RNA", at positions 1 to 124 of the family's 154-position model. Rfam says of the family: 5.8S ribosomal RNA (5.8S rRNA) is a component of the large subunit of the eukaryotic ribosome. It is transcribed by RNA polymerase I as part of the 45S precursor that also contains 18S and 28S rRNA. Lineage: Eukaryota; Metazoa; Cnidaria; Anthozoa; Antipatharia; Antipathidae. The record is from RNAcentral.